AAAACACAUACAGUACUCUUACCCUUGCCUGCAAAGAAGCCUAUGAAUUGGAGUAUUUUGUCCUUGAUUUGGCUGAAGUACUCUUGCUUCAGGAGUAUUUUGUUUUAUGAUUAAUUUUUUAUUUGGCAUUCCCAUUUCUGCAGCC
This is a non-coding RNA of Chrysemys picta bellii (western painted turtle), 145 nucleotides long. Lineage: Eukaryota; Metazoa; Chordata; Testudines; Emydidae. The record is from RefSeq and is a predicted model, not a curated record.